Molecule: ribosomal RNA, 465 nt
Filed under: uncultured bacterium
Lineage: Bacteria
Description: partial 16S ribosomal RNA
Rfam family: Bacterial small subunit ribosomal RNA
Source: RNAcentral
GACGAACGCUGGCGGCGUGCUUAACACAUGCAAGUCGAACGGAAAGGCCCCCUUGUGGGGUACUCGAGUGGCGAACGGGUGAGUAACACGUGAGUAACCUACCCUUGACUUUGGGAUAACUUCAGGAAACUGGGGCUAAUACCGGAUAGGAGCUCCUGCUGCAUGGUGGGGGUUGGAAAGUUUCGGCGGUUGGGGAUGGACCCGCGGCUUAUCAGCUUGUUGGUGGGGUAGUGGCUCACCAAGGCUUUGACGGGUAGCCGGCCUGAGAGGGUGACCGGCCACAUUGGGACUGAGAUACGGCCCAGACUCCUACGGGAGGCAGCAGUGGGGAAUAUUGCACAAUGGGCGGAAGCCUGAUGCAGCAACGCCGCGUGCGGGAUGACGGCCUUCGGGUUGUAAACCGCUUUCGCCUGUGACGAAGCGUGAGUGACGGUAAUGGGUAAAGAAGCACCGGCUAACUACGUG